Dethiosulfovibrio salsuginis is the source of this 138-nucleotide non-coding RNA. NCBI's taxonomy places the organism in Bacteria, Thermotogati, Synergistota, Synergistia, Synergistales, Dethiosulfovibrionaceae. The record is from Rfam.
GGAAGCCGCCUUCAAGAUGAGAUACCUCAUUGCAUAAGCAAGUAAGGCGUCCUGUAGACGACAGGGUACAUAGGCCGGAGGUGGAAGCACGGCAACGUGUGGAGCUGACCGGUACUAAUACGCCGAGGCCUUAACCUC